GGCCGCGUAGCUCAAUUGGAUAGAGCACCUGACUACGGAUCAGGAGGUUGUGUGUUCGAGCCGCAUCGUGGUCA
Molecule: transfer RNA, 74 nt
Organism: Fonticula alba
Lineage: Eukaryota; Rotosphaerida; Fonticulaceae
Rfam family: tRNA
About the family: Transfer RNA (tRNA) molecules are approximately 80 nucleotides in length. Their secondary structure includes four short double-helical elements and three loops (D, anti-codon, and T loops).
Source: Rfam